CAGUCGACGAAGCCUUAAGAAUGAUUCUUCGGAUGAAGUCUUAUUUGACUGAGUGGCGGACGGGUGAGUAACGCGUGGGUAACCUGCCUCACACAGGGGGAUAACAGUUGGAAACGACCGCUAAUACCGCAUAAGCCAACAGGACCGCAUGGUCUGGUUGGAAAAGAUUUAUCGGUGUGAGAUGGACCCGCGUCUGAUUAGCCAGUUGGCAGGGUAACGGCCUACCAAAGCGACGAUCAGUAGCCGGCCUGAGAGGGUGAACGGCCACAUUGGGACUGAGACACGGCCCAAACUCCUACGGGAGGCAGCAGUGGGGAAUAUUGCACAAUGGGGGAAACCCUGAUGCAGCGACGCCGCGUGAGUGAAGAAGUAUUUCGGUAUGUAAAGCUCUAUCAGCAGGGAAGAAAAUGACGGUACCUGACUAAGAAGCCCCGGCUAACUACGUGCCAGCAGCCGCGGUAAUACGUAGGGGGCAAGCGUUAUCCGGAUUUACUGGGUGUAAAGGGAGCGUAGACGGUGAUGCAAGUCAGAAGUGAAAGCCCGCGGCUCAACUGCGGGACUGCUUUUGAAACUGUAUGACUAGAGUGCAGGAGAGGUAAGCGGAAUUCCUAGUGUAGCGGUGAAAUGCGUAGAUAUUAGGAGGAACACCAGUGGCGAAGGCGGCUUACUGGACUGUAACUGACGUUGAGGCUCGAAAGCGUGGGGAGCAAACAGGAUUAGAUACCCUGGUAGUCCACGNCCGUAACGAUGAAUACUANGUGUCAGGGAGCAAAGCUCUUUGGUGCCGCAGCAAACGCAAUAAG
Molecule: ribosomal RNA, 803 nt
Filed under: uncultured bacterium
Lineage: Bacteria
Description: bacterial SSU rRNA
Rfam family: Bacterial small subunit ribosomal RNA
Source: RNAcentral